CAGCAAGGCGAAGUAGACACAAAAAACGGCAGAAAACCCGAAUAAACAUCGCCGUAGCUUUCCCAAAUGGAGUGCACUGAAGCAGGAAAAGGGUUUACUAAGCGACGACAAGUUGGAAGCUUUCUGCUGGACCGGUCGCCAUCAAACAUGUUCCAUUACAAAACAUUUGUUAUUGUGAUACUUCUAAGGGCGAGCGUCUACCCAAAGAAGUGGCUGUACAUCAGGAGCUACAUAAAUCGGAGACAUGCCCUUAUAUUGUUAAAAUAUACGACUGGUAUCUGGAAGAUCAGCUCAUCAUGACUAUGGAAUACCCACGGCCAUGCAUGACCUUGCAUGAUUUCAUCAAAUGUCAUCCAAGUCUUCCGCGUGAAACCUUGGCACGUCGUUUGAUGAACCAAGCAGUUACAGCAGCCAAAUACUGCAUUGGACACGGUGUCAACCAUGGUGACUUGUCAUGCGACAACUUCUUGAUCAAUACAGAUCGGAUGCAGGUGAAAAUUAUAGAUUUUAGAUCCGGCAGGUUUAUCUCAACCACCAACAACCUAGAGUCAGGAUACUGUGUUACAGACAGUGCCUAUGCGGUUGCAGAUACUGUCUGUGGUUUGGGUAAAAUUCGGGCACAAUUGGUGGGUUGCUGUUGCUACGUUGGCGUUACUCACAACCACAUCGUAUCUGAAGGUAAGAGAACAGCACUAACAAAAAUCUUUAAAUGUUAAAUGCAAACUAAGCAUCUGCACUGUUUCUGGGAGUUCUCACCAAAUACAACUUCCCAGGAAAAAUAUAAUUAUUACUAAAGUCUUUUUUCUUAAAGUUUUUUUUAUUCAGGUCCAAAAAGAGUCUAUUUAACAUAAAGCAAGAUUUUGACAGAUUCCUAAAAUGUCUGUUUCCUCUGUCAGGGUUCUGUUCCUUCCUGUCUUGGGUUCUCGUGCCUUGGGGACAGUGUCAUGACAAUAUCAUGUCUUGUGAGUGUGUUUUGUUUUGUGUGGACACACGUGGUGGUUUGUUUUGACAUUUUGCCGUGUGUCCUCCUGUCUUUCGUUUAGCUCCGCCUCCUUGUUUCUCCGUUAGCAUCCCAUUAGUGUUUCAUCUCCCUCACCUGUCCAUUCUACUUCCCGCCAGUCUCCCUUAAUGUUCGUUAACAUUCGUUAAUACAUGUCUAAUGCAAUCUCAAGCUUCUCCUUGGUCUUCUGCAUUAGCCGAAGCUGCUCAGCGUAGUCUAGGGUUGGGAAUGGGAUACCAACAUACACAUGACCGGAGGAAGGCAGAGGAUGGGGUACGGCGGGACAAAAACAAGGAGGGGGGAGAAAACAAAGGGAUAAAUAUGAUUGAGAAGAUAAACAAAUGGAGGGAAAAACAGAAUGAUUUUCUGAGAUGAGAAAACCAUACUUGACUGAUGUGACCUUUGACCUAAUCUAUUAUCUCUAAUAAUCAUCUUAUCUAGUUCUGUUCUAUUAGGGUUAAAAGAGUUUCCUAGAUCUGGCUGUGUAAUUGCAUGGCACUGCUGGUUGAGAUAUCUAUUGUUUAUGCUGAAUUUCCAGACGCUUACAAUAGUGCCAUUUGCAUUCAUUUCUGACAUGCUUUGUGCUGAAAUGUGGCAGAUUUGUCCAAUGCUGUGUGCUUUAUACAUGUUCACACUGCACAGAGGGAAAAUGUAUAAAGCCUCAAGAUGGCUGAAAGCAGACUGUGGCAGGUAAGAUGAAUACACACAUUGUAGCCUGCACCUAUUCCAUUGCUUUAGUAAUGUCCUUUAUUCAUUUCUCUUUCGUUGUAUUCUGUGUGUGAUACCUGAGAGUUUGGCCUCCAGCUUUCGUAUAUGAUCGUUCCUGCGCUGGAUCUGAGAUGAGAAAUCAUCUCUGGAGCUGCUGCCGUCGGAUGCCUGAGAGUGAAGGGUCGCCAUCAAACAUGUUCCAUUACAAGAUAUUACUUUUGUGGAUACUUCUAAGGGCGAGCAUCUACCCAAAGAAGUGGCUUUACAGCAGGAGCUACAUAAAUCAGAGACAUGCCCUUAUAUUGGUUAAAAUAUACGACUGGUAUCUGGAAGAUCAGCUCAUCAUGACUAUGGAAUACCCACGGCCCAUGCAUGACCUUGCAUGAUUUUAUCCUAUGUCAUUCAAGUCUUCCGCGUGAAACCUUGGCACGUCGUUUGAUGAACCAAGCAGUUACAGCGCGCCAAAUACUGGAUUGGGCACGGUGUCAACCAUGGUGACUUGUCAUGGGACAACUUCUUGAUCAAUACAGAUCUGAUGCAGGUGAAAAUUAUAGAUUUUGGAAACGGCAGGUUUAUCUCAACCACCAACAACCUAGAGUCAGGAUACUGUGACAGUGCUUAUGCGGUUGCAGAUACUGUAUGUGGUUUGGGGAAUAUUCUGGCACUAUUGGUGGGUUUGCUGUUGCUUCACUGGCGUCACUCACAAACACAUCGUAUCUGAAGAAUGCCAUGACCUGAUAAACCGCAGCAUAUGCAGGGAUCCAGCCGACAGGCUCACAUUAGAUGAGUUCUCGGAUCACGAAUGGUUUGUGCUGGAAGAAGGACAAAAGUGAUUUUUCCAUACUGCAGAUUGGUUUAUUAAGUUUAUCUGGUUUAUUUUGCUUGUCUUUGAGAAGUUUAUUUAGAGUUUUAGAUAGUUUAAAAGGUUUAGAAUACUUUCUCUCUGGAGUCGUGAUCCUUCUCUGAUGAUGUCAGUAUGACGGAAUGAGCAAAAGUUACAGUGAUAGUUCAUCCA
Triplophysa dalaica is the source of this 2723-nucleotide RNA transcript. It is a transcript of the gene named serine/threonine-protein kinase prk-2-like, with no coding region annotated. The transcript has 8 exons. The record is from RefSeq and is a predicted model, not a curated record. NCBI's taxonomy places the organism in Eukaryota, Metazoa, Chordata, Actinopteri, Cypriniformes, Nemacheilidae.